GCUGGGAUAGCUCAGUCAGUAGAGCAUGAGGCUCUUAAUCGCAGGGUUGUGGGUUUGAGCCCCAUAUUGGGCA
This 73-nucleotide transfer RNA is filed under the name Podarcis lilfordi (Lilford's wall lizard). It matches the Rfam family "tRNA". From Rfam's summary of the family: Transfer RNA (tRNA) molecules are approximately 80 nucleotides in length. Their secondary structure includes four short double-helical elements and three loops (D, anti-codon, and T loops). Further hydrogen bonds mediate the characteristic L-shaped molecular structure. tRNAs have two regions of fundamental functional importance: the anti-codon, which is responsible for specific mRNA codon recognition, and the 3' end, to which the tRNAs corresponding amino acid is attached (by aminoacyl-tRNA synthetases). tRNAs cope with the degeneracy of the genetic code in two manners: having more than one tRNA (with a specific anti-codon) for a particular amino acid; and 'wobble' base-pairing, i.e. permitting non-standard base-pairing at the 3rd anti-codon position. Lineage: Eukaryota; Metazoa; Chordata; Lepidosauria; Squamata; Lacertidae. The record is from Rfam by way of RNAcentral.